GAGACCCACGCCAACAGUUGCCAGCAUGUCCUCCGGGAUGGUGGGGACACUGUUGGGACCGCCUCUGCUAAAGAGGAGGAAGGAAUGGGCAACGGUAGGUCAGCAUGCCCCGAAUUAUCCGGGCUACACGCGGGCUACAAUGGUCAGGACAAUGGGUAUCGACACCGAGAGGUGAAGGCAAUCUCUUAAACCUGUCCUUAGUUCGGAAUGUGGGCUGCAACUCGCCCACAUGAAGCUGGAAUCCGUAGUAAUCGCGUCUCAAAAUGGCGCGGUGAAUAU
This 279-nucleotide ribosomal RNA is filed under the name uncultured archaeon. Its description in RNAcentral is "partial 16S rRNA". It matches the Rfam family "Archaeal small subunit ribosomal RNA", at positions 1047 to 1325 of the family's 1478-position model. The record is from RNAcentral.